GGACUACUCGGGUUUCUAAUCCUGUUUGCUCCCCACGCUCUCGCGCCUCAGCGUCAGUCUCAGUCCAGGUGGUCGCCUUCGCCACUGAUGUUCCUUCCGAUCUCUACGCAUUUCACCGCUACACCGGAAAUUCCACCACCCUCUACUGCACUCCAGUCCAAUAGUCUAAGAUGCAUUUCCCAGGUUAAGCCCGGGGCUUUCACAUCUUACUUAUCAAACCGCCUACGCGCCCUUUACGCCCAAUAACUCCGAUUAACGCUUGCACCCUCUGUAUUACCGCGGCUGCUGGCAC
This 292-nucleotide ribosomal RNA is filed under the name uncultured bacterium. Its description in RNAcentral is "partial 16S ribosomal RNA". The record is from RNAcentral.